This 253-nucleotide long non-coding RNA is filed under the name Phoenix dactylifera (date palm). RNAcentral describes it as "long non-coding RNA (PDAC_LNC016706)". Lineage: Eukaryota; Viridiplantae; Streptophyta; Magnoliopsida; Arecales; Arecaceae. The record is from RNAcentral.
AUAUCAACAAAGAAUUCAAAAAAAAAGAUUUGAUUUUUCUGUUCUUUUUUGAUAUUAUUUGUAAUUAAAUAGAUGUAUUUUCUUGAUGGUUGUGGUUUCGAAAGUUUUCUUUGUUACCCGAAACAAAUUUUUCUUGCGGUUAUAAGCUCGUUUGUUGAUCUUCUAGAGUUGGAAUUCCGCCUCGAGUCGCAAACAUUUCGACACUUUCUUUCCUGUUCUCUGGCCGAUUUUUGGACUCGGUUAAAUGCUUUUU